Molecule: unclassified non-coding RNA, 494 nt
Filed under: Scouleria aquatica
Lineage: Eukaryota; Viridiplantae; Streptophyta; Bryopsida; Scouleriales; Scouleriaceae
Description: partial contains tRNA-Leu, trnL-trnF intergenic spacer, and tRNA-Phe
Rfam family: Group I catalytic intron (bases 14-302)
About the family: Group I catalytic introns are large self-splicing ribozymes. They catalyse their own excision from mRNA, tRNA and rRNA precursors in a wide range of organisms.
Source: RNAcentral
CGAUCGGUAGACGCUACGGACUUAAAUAAUUUGAGCSUUAGUAGAAAAACUUACUAAAUGCUAGCUUUCAGAUUCAGGGAAACUUAGGUUGAAAAAAAUAUAAGCGAUCCUGAGCCAAAUUUUAUAUUUAAAAGUAAGUAGGUGCAGAGACUCGAUGGAAGCUAUCCUAACGUAAAUUUUUUUAAGAUUUAUUUAAGUGAAUUUUAUGAAUUAAUAUAAAUAAAAAAAAAUUAACUAAAAUUUUCUUUUUUUAUUAGCAAACGAGGAUAAAGAUAGAGUCCAAUUUUACAUGUUAAUUUUAGCAACAAUUUAAAUUGUAGUAAAAAGAAAAUCCGUUGGCUUUAUUGACCGUGAGGGUUCAAGUCCCUCUACCCCCAAAAUUAUGAAUUUUUUUUAUUGACAUAAGUUUCUAGUUCAUGUUAGGAUAGCCCAAACGAACAGAAAGCCGGGAUAGCUCAGUUGGUAGAGCAGAGGACUGAAAAUCCUCGUGUCAC